RNAcentral lists this long non-coding RNA (426 nucleotides) under Selaginella moellendorffii. Its description in RNAcentral is "long non-coding RNA (SMOE_LNC001230)". Lineage: Eukaryota; Viridiplantae; Streptophyta; Lycopodiopsida; Selaginellales; Selaginellaceae. The record is from RNAcentral.
UCGUUUUCUCUCCCCCUCCACCGAUCAAGCUCUCUCCUCCUCUUUCCUCCUCUUCGAUUCCUUCCUUUCAUGCCGAGAGCUUGAAUGCCUCCACCACCACCGUGCUGCGCUCCUCCACACAACCUGGUAUGCAGCACAUUUGCAUUUAAAGUCAGUCAGCCGAGCGAGUAAGAUGGCAGCGAUGAGUAGCAGCAAUAGCAACAGCAACAGCGUACCUCAUGGAAGCCACGCUCGGACGGAGAGAAGCGCUGCUCAAACCAACACCAUGGGAAUGCUGAGCCCCCUCAGCUUGAGCCUGUGGAAGAACAAGACCGGGGACGAGGAGACCGACAUAUCUGCGCGGCUUACUUGGAGAGAUCUCUUCGUCUCGGCCACCAAUGCGAAGGGAGAGACGCGCUCGCUGCUCCACGGUCUCAAUGGAUACGC